ACUCUAAUAGUUUACUGAAAACAUUGGUCUUGUAAGCCAAAGAGCGAAGAUUACACCCCUUCUUAGAGUU
This 70-nucleotide transfer RNA is filed under the name Anhinga melanogaster (Oriental darter). RNAcentral describes it as "tRNA-Thr". It matches the Rfam family "tRNA". From Rfam's summary of the family: Transfer RNA (tRNA) molecules are approximately 80 nucleotides in length. Their secondary structure includes four short double-helical elements and three loops (D, anti-codon, and T loops). Further hydrogen bonds mediate the characteristic L-shaped molecular structure. tRNAs have two regions of fundamental functional importance: the anti-codon, which is responsible for specific mRNA codon recognition, and the 3' end, to which the tRNAs corresponding amino acid is attached (by aminoacyl-tRNA synthetases). tRNAs cope with the degeneracy of the genetic code in two manners: having more than one tRNA (with a specific anti-codon) for a particular amino acid; and 'wobble' base-pairing, i.e. permitting non-standard base-pairing at the 3rd anti-codon position. Lineage: Eukaryota; Metazoa; Chordata; Aves; Suliformes; Anhingidae. The record is from RNAcentral.